UCACGCCCAAGCAAGCAAGGCAAGAAAGGGAAACAAGGAAAAAAAAAACAAAAACAAAACCAAAAACCAGAAAAAAACCCAAUUUUCUCUCGCUUUCCAUUUCUUUGUUGAUCCAUUGUUGAGAAAACAAAGAUAAAAAAAAGAUACAACAUCUUGCCAAUUACAGUAAUAAUAACACACAACCCAGAAAUUUUGACCUUUUUUCCCCUUAGGGUUUGAUAAAAGGAGGGAUUAUUAUUAUUAUUAUUAUUAUUAUUAUUAUUAUUAUUAUGUGGUUGUGAGAAUCAAUGCGGUCUUUGAGAAAAAGACCAGAAUUGAAAAAAACCAAGAAGGUAAAAUCUGUGAAUGAAUCAAAGCAAUUGAAAGAACCCAGAUCUGAUGGUGGGUUUGUCUUUGGUUUCG
This 402-nucleotide long non-coding RNA is filed under the name Citrus x clementina. RNAcentral's name for it is "Citrus clementina (C. clementina) long non-coding RNA (CCLE_LNC002148)". The record is from RNAcentral. Lineage: Eukaryota; Viridiplantae; Streptophyta; Magnoliopsida; Sapindales; Rutaceae.